Molecule: unclassified non-coding RNA, 102 nt
Organism: Cebus imitator (Panamanian white-faced capuchin)
Lineage: Eukaryota; Metazoa; Chordata; Mammalia; Primates; Cebidae
Rfam family: Y RNA
About the family: Y RNAs are components of the Ro ribonucleoprotein particle (Ro RNP), in association with Ro60 and La proteins. The Y RNAs and Ro60 and La proteins are well conserved, but the function of the Ro RNP is not known.
Source: Ensembl
GGCUAGCCUAGGUACAGUGAUGUUUACAGCUAAUUGAUCACAACCAGUUACAGAUUUCUUAGUUCCUUUUCUACUUGCAUUGCUUCACUUGACUAGUCUUAG